GAAGUGAACAAGAGGCAGGUAUUAUUGUACUCCAUGACGGUUGAAUAGCAGUGAUGUGAAGUGAACAAGAGGCAGGUAUUAUUGUACUCCAUGACGGUUGAAUAGCAGUGAUGUGAAGUGAACAAGAGGCAGGUAUUAUUGUACUCCAUGACGGUUGAAUAGCAGUGAUGUGAAGUGAACAAGAGGCAGGUAUUAUUGUACUCCAUGACGGUUGAAUAGCAGUGAUGUGAAGUGAACAAGAGGCAGGUAUUAUUG
Long non-coding RNA from Eriocheir sinensis (Chinese mitten crab), 255 nucleotides. RefSeq lists it as uncharacterized. The transcript has 3 exons. Lineage: Eukaryota; Metazoa; Arthropoda; Malacostraca; Decapoda; Varunidae. The record is from RefSeq and is a predicted model, not a curated record.